RNAcentral lists this small RNA (504 nucleotides) under Vigna angularis var. angularis. RNAcentral's name for it is "Non-protein coding transcript". Lineage: Eukaryota; Viridiplantae; Streptophyta; Magnoliopsida; Fabales; Fabaceae. The record is from RNAcentral.
UGGUACAAUUAAUUAAACUUAGCCCCUUUUCUAAUUAAGAAUUUGAGAAAACAAAUUGGGGAAAUUUGUGAGUGUUUCAUCUUCUCUAGUUCGGUUCUUCCUUGAUAGAGAAGGGAGGCGCUCUCUUCUUCCUUCUUUUCUGGGGAGGGUUUCAUUCCCGGCGUCUCAACAAUGUGAGGAGCUCGUUUCAUUGAUGUUCUUAUGGUGAUGGAGAUCGCGGAGGCUCCCUUUCGAAGCAAACCGCGAUAGCAGCGGAAUGAGUUGUGAUUUUCGUUUCGCGUUUCAGAUUAGGGUUUUGUUUUGGGAAAUUUCGGGUUUCGUUUCUUGUGUUCUUGAUUUUUUUUUGCAGAUUUGGUUUCGCAAUUUAGGGUUAGCGUUCCUGCGUUUGGGUUUUCAUGUGAUAUUGUGAUUUGGGAUAUUUGUUUUCGAUUUGAAAUUUUGAUUGUAAAUCUGAUUUUUGCAAUGAGAUUUUGGAUGUUUCUUAUUUGUUCCGUGAUUAAACAA